GAAAUGAAGUAUAUGUGAAAUUCAAGAAACAAUCUCUGAUCAACAUAUACAAUUGAGCUCAUCCAGCACCUCGAUGUGAAUGUAAGUUAAUACACAGGUCUAACAACUGACUGCUUUCUAUGCAUACGCCACAGAAAAAAGCUAUGUAUUAACACAAACUAAACAUAAUUCACUAUCCUACUACACAAGAAGGAAAAAGCACAAAAAUUUGAAAAAGUAUACGACUACAGCUGAUUGUCAAGGAAUCUGUUCUGUUUUACUCAUAAGUUGCAGUAUAGAUUAAUAAAACUGUUGUUUCUUCAUAUUUUUAUUGUGGUUGAAAUUUAUUUUCCAUGAAAUAAAUUAUGUUGGAAACAUAGUUGUUUGGGAAAGUUUUUUAAUCCAUCCACAUCUUUAAUUCCCACGCUAAGGAUAGUCGAACUUUAGGAAAUUGAAUUUGGAAAAUGGUGACAUUUUACGACAAUAGCAACCUGGGUCUGAGGAAGGUAAAGUGUACGCAGUCUAUACCACUACCCCAAGUAAAGUAGAGAAACUGUUUCCGAUAUACCCGACUCAGAACAGAUAACAGUAUAUAAACAAAAAUAUAAAAACAAACAAGAAAAGGGACAACGCACCGCUAGAUAAUAAAAGAAACAAGACACCCGCAGCGUAAUACUAUAACCAGCCAAGUUAUCCCACCAAAAUGAACUAUCUCCAUCUCCAAUUCUCAAAAGAAUAAAUUCUUCAACAACCUCAUCUUUCUUUCCUGCUAUUUGUACACCAUUUUGUUGACACAUUGUUUUUACAAGUUCAUAAUAGGUAAAAAGAACAAUGUAUAUAUUUUCACAAACUAAACAUAAUUUACUUGAAGGGGAGCCUUGGAGUAAGCGGUACAGUUGACUCCAUGUGGCCGGGGAGGUCUUGGGUUCAAGCCGUGGAAACAGCCUCUUGCAGAAAUGCAAAGUAAGGGAGUGACUUGUAUUUGUACGGAUAUGAUCUUGUUGAAAAACAUGGUUCCAAUCGAAAUGUCUCAAAAGGAAACUAUGGACAAUUCCAUCCAGUGCUUGGUGGGAUGAAAGUGAUGAUCCUACAGAGCCUAUUCUGGUUGACUUCUGUAAUGGGAAGUUUCUAGUGAUUGUUCAAAAAAAUGCUGUAGAAAGAUUCUUUAAAUGUGUCUGUGGAGUCACUUCAUACUUUACUCAUUGGUGAUCCUUCAUUUGGACUCGAGCAUGGGAUCGUGAAUGAUCAAAGUGAAUCCAAUAAUAAAUAAUCGAAGUAGAAAACAAGACGAGAUGAAAUGAAGUAUAUGUGAAAUUCAAGAAACAAUCUCUGAUCAACAUAUACAAUUGAGCUCAUCCAGCACCUCGAUGUGAAUGUAAGUUAAUACACAGGUCUAACAACUGACUGCUUUCUAUGCAUACGCCACAGAAAAAAGCUAUGUAUUAACACAAACUAAACAUAAUUCACUAUCCUACUACACAAGAAGGAAAAAGCACAAAAAUUUGAAAAAGUAUACGACUACAGCUGAUUGUCAAGGAAUCUGUUCUGUUUUACUCAUAAGUUGCAGUAUAGAUUUAGCUUUUCUUUGGCCCC
RNAcentral lists this long non-coding RNA (1572 nucleotides) under Capsicum annuum. RNAcentral describes it as "long non-coding RNA (CANN_LNC018434)". Lineage: Eukaryota; Viridiplantae; Streptophyta; Magnoliopsida; Solanales; Solanaceae. The record is from RNAcentral.